Molecule: ribosomal RNA, 253 nt
Filed under: uncultured bacterium
Lineage: Bacteria
Description: partial 16S ribosomal RNA
Rfam family: Bacterial small subunit ribosomal RNA
Source: RNAcentral
UACGUAGGGCGCAAGCGUUGUCCGGAAUUAUUGGGCGUAAAGAGCUCGUAGGCGGUUUGUCGCGUCUGUCGUGAAAGCCCACGGCUUAACUGUGGGUCUGCGGUGGAUACGGGCAGACUAGAGGCAGGUAGGGGAGAAUGGAAUUCCCGGUGUAGCGGUGAAAUGCGCAGAUAUCAGGAAGAACACCCGUGGCUAAGGCGGCUCUCUAGUACGGUACUGACGCUGAGACGCGAAAGCGUGGGGAGCGAACAGG